CGCACAUGCUCUGCAGGGGUAGUUCCUCUCAUCCUCUCACCAAGAAAACUCAGCACCAGAAAGAGAAGAGGUUUGUGGAAAAGACAACAAGUUUACUCUGGGAUGUGUUAAUGCAAUGGGCUGCAUGUGUUCACCCCUCCCCAAAUCCAUGUGUUGAAAUCCGAAUCCCCAACAUGAUGGUGAGGAGGUGGAGGCUCUGGGAAGUGAUUAGGUCAUGAUGGUGAGGAGGUGGAGGAUCUGGAAGUGAUCAGGUCCUGAUGGUGAGGAGGUGGAGGAUCUGGAAGUGAUUAGGUGGUGAUGGUGAGGAGGUGGAGGAUCUGGAAGUGAUUAGGUCGUGAUGGUGAGGAGGUGGAGGAUCUGGGAAGUGAUUAGGUCGUGAUGGUGAGGAGGUGGAGGAUCUGGAAGUGAUUAGGUCGUGAUGGCGAGGAGGUGGAGGAUCUGGGAAGUGAUUAGGUCGUGAUGGUGAGGAGGUGGAGGAUCUGGGAAGUGAUUAGGUCGUGAUGGUGAGGAGGUGGAGGCUCUGGGAAGUGAUUAGGUAGUGAUGGUGAGGAGAUGGAGGAUCUGGAAGUGAUUAGCUCAUGAUGGUGAGGAAGUAGAGGAUCUGGAAGUGAUUAGGUCGUGAUGGUGAGGAGGUGGAGGAUCUGGAAGUGAUUAGGUCGUGAUGGUGAGGAGGUGGAGGCUCUGGGAAGUGAUUAGGUCGUGACGGUGAGGAGGUGGAGGAUCUGGAAGUGAUUAGGUCGUGAUGGUGAGGAGGUGGAGGCUCUGGGAAGUGAUUAGGUCGUGAUGGUGAGGAGGUGGAGGAUCUGGAAGUGAUUAGGUCAUGAUGGUGAGGAGGUGGAGGCUCUGGACGUGAUUAGGUCGUGAUGGUGAGGAGGUGGAGGAUCUGGAAGUGAUUAGGUCGUGAUGGUGAGGAGGUGGAGGAUCUGGAAUUGAUUAGGUCGUUUUGGUGACAAGGUGGAGGAUCUGGAAGUGAUUAGGUCGUGAUGGUGAGGAGGUGGAGGAUCUGGAAGUGAUUAGGUCGUGACGGUGAGGAGGUGGAGGAUCUGGAAGUGAUUAGGUCGUCAGGGUGCAGCCCUCCUGAAUGGGAUUAGUGCCCUUAAACCAGAGGCCCCAGAGGCAUCCCUGGCUCCUUCCACUAUGAACCAGAAAGUGGGACCUCACCA
This 1163-nucleotide long non-coding RNA is filed under the name Homo sapiens (human). RNAcentral's name for it is "HSALNT0083370". Lineage: Eukaryota; Metazoa; Chordata; Mammalia; Primates; Hominidae. The record is from RNAcentral.